AUGUGCAUUCUCUUCCCUCUUUGUUCAUGUUCACUUCUUCCAAUCUUUCAUAAAAAACUCUUUUUCGAAUUACAAUCCUUCAUCAUCAACAUCAAUCCUUUCAUAUUCUAAUCUAAAUCCAUUUUUGGAUCUAAUCUAAACUCUUCCAAAUCCCAAUCUAAACCCUUUUAUUUAUGAACAGUAAUCCCAUUUUGUUGUUGUUGUUGUUGU
This 210-nucleotide long non-coding RNA is filed under the name Medicago truncatula (barrel medic). RNAcentral's name for it is "lncRNA gene14375". Lineage: Eukaryota; Viridiplantae; Streptophyta; Magnoliopsida; Fabales; Fabaceae. The record is from RNAcentral.